GUGAGGUAACGGCUCACCAAGGCAUCGACGGGUAGCUGGUCUGAGAGGACGAUCAGCCACACUGGGACUGAGACACGGCCCAGACUCCUACGGGAGGCAGCAGUAGGGAAUCUUGCGCAAUGGGCGAAAGCCUGACGCAGCAACGCCGCGUGGGGGAUGAAGGCCUUCGGGUCGUAAACCCCUUUCAGCAGGGACGAAAAUGACGGUACCUGCAGAAGAAGGUCCGGCCAACUACGUGCCAGCAGCCGCGGUAAUACGUAGGGACCAAGCGUUGUCCGGAAUUAUUGGGCGUAAAGAGCUCGUAGGCGGUUCGGUAAGUCGGGUGUGAAAAUCCAGGGCUCAACCCUGGGACGCCACCCGAUACUGCUGUGACUAGAGUCCGGUAGAGGAGCGUGGAAUUCCUGGUGUAGCGGUGAAAUGCGCAGAUAUCAGGAGGAACACCAGCGGCGAAGGCGGCGCUCUGGGCCGGUACUGACGCUGAGGAGCGAAAGCAUGGGGAGCAAACAGGAUUAGAUACCCUGGUAGUCCAUGCCGUAAACGUUGGGCACUAGGUAUGGGACCUUAUCAACGGGUUCCGUGCCGUAGCUAACGCACUAAGUG
Molecule: ribosomal RNA, 600 nt
Filed under: uncultured Actinomycetes bacterium
Lineage: Bacteria; Bacillati; Actinomycetota; Actinomycetes
Description: bacterial SSU rRNA
Rfam family: Bacterial small subunit ribosomal RNA
Source: RNAcentral